GAUGAACGCUGGCGGCGUGCCUAAUACAUGCAAGUCGAGCGAUCAGACGAGGAGCUUGCUCCUCUGACGUUAGCGGCGGACGGGUGAGUAACACGUGGAUAACCUACCUAUAAGACUGGGAUAACUUCGGGAAACCGGAGCUAAUACCGGAUAAUAUAUUGAACCGCAUGGUUCAAUAGUGAAAGACGGUUUUGCUGUCACUUAUAGAUGGAUCCGCGCCGCAUUAGCUAGUUGGUAAGGUAACGGCUUACCAAGGCAACGAUGCGUAGCCGACCUGAUAGGGUGAUCGGCAACACUGGAACUGAGACACGGACCAGACUCCUACGGGAGGCAGCAGUAGGGAAUAUUCCGCAAUGGGCGAAAGCAUGACGGAGCAACGCCGCGUGAGUGAUGAAGGACUUCGGAUCGUAAAACUCUGUUAUUAGGGAAGAACAAAUGUGUAAGUAACUAUGCACGUAUUGACGGUACCUAAUAAGAAAGCAACGGCUAACUACGUG
This 497-nucleotide ribosomal RNA is filed under the name uncultured bacterium. Its description in RNAcentral is "partial 16S ribosomal RNA". It matches the Rfam family "Bacterial small subunit ribosomal RNA", at positions 28 to 507 of the family's 1533-position model. The record is from RNAcentral.